This 600-nucleotide ribosomal RNA is filed under the name uncultured archaeon. RNAcentral's name for it is "bacterial SSU rRNA". It matches the Rfam family "Archaeal small subunit ribosomal RNA", at positions 85 to 688 of the family's 1478-position model. The record is from RNAcentral.
ACGGCUCAUUAACACGUGGUUAACAUACCCUCAGGUGGGGGAUAACCUUGGGAAACUGAGGAUAAUACCCCAUAGAAAAAGCAGUCUGGAACGAUUCUUUUUCGAAAGCAUAUGCGCCUGAGGAUUGGACUGCGCUCGAUUAGGUAGUUGGUGGGGUAAUGGCCCACCAAGCCUACGAUCGGUACGGGCCUUGAGAGAGGAAGCCCGGAGAUGGGGACUGAGACACGGCCCCAGGCCCUACGGGGCGCAGCAGGCGCGAAACCUCCGCAAUGCACGAAAGUGCGACGGGGGGAUCCCAAGUGCUCAUGCACAGCAUGGGCUUUUAUCAAGUGUAAACAGCUUGAGGAAUAAGGGCUGGGCAAGUUCGGUGCCAGCAGCCGCGGUAACACCGACGGCCCGAGUGGUGGCCACUUUUAUUGGGCCUAAAGCGUCCGUAGCCGGUCCAGUAAGUCCUUGUUUAAAUCCUGCGGCUUAACCGCAGGACUGGCAGGGAUACUGCUGGACUUGGGACCGGGAGAGGACAAGGGUACUUCAGGGGUAGCGGUGAAAUGUGUUGAUCCUUGAAGGACCACCUAUGGCGAAGGCACUUGUCUGGAACGG